AGUCACUGACAUUAGAUACCCCUGUAGUCCCAGCCGUAAACUAUGCUCGCUAGGUGUCAGGCAUGGCGCGACCGUGUCUGGUGCCGAAGGGAAACCGUGAAACGUGCCGCCUGGGAAGUACGGUCGACAAAGGCUGAAACCUAAAGGAAUUCGGCGGGGAGCACAACAACGGUGGAGCCUGCGGUUUAAUUGGACUCAACGCCGGACAACUCACCGGGAACGACAGCAAUAUGUAGGCCAGGCUGAAGACCUUGCCUGAAUCGCUG
Molecule: ribosomal RNA, 266 nt
Filed under: uncultured archaeon
Lineage: Archaea
Description: partial 16S ribosomal RNA
Rfam family: Archaeal small subunit ribosomal RNA
Source: RNAcentral